This 253-nucleotide long non-coding RNA is filed under the name Lathyrus oleraceus (garden pea). RNAcentral's name for it is "Pisum sativum (pea) long non-coding RNA (PSAT_LNC012984)". Lineage: Eukaryota; Viridiplantae; Streptophyta; Magnoliopsida; Fabales; Fabaceae. The record is from RNAcentral.
AAUGACGUCCGCAUCACUCUUUGGCAAACUUCAAGAACAUGAGUUAGAACUUGGUAAGCUUGAGAAACAUGAAAGUCAAGAAAAGAAAUCUAAAGGAAUUGCCUUGAAGGUAGACUCAAAAGAAGAUAAAGAUGAUGACGCAUUGGAGAAAGAUGAGAAUUUCAUGCUCCUUGUUAAAAGGCUUGGUAAGUUCUUUAACAAAAAUGAUAAAUCCUUUAACGCUAAAAAGAAUAGACAUUUCAGGAAAAAGGAG